GGAGGUUGUAGCUCAGCUGGUUAGAGCGCUGGAUUGUGGUUCCAGAGGUCGCGGGUUCGAACCCCGUCUCCCUCCC
This 76-nucleotide transfer RNA is filed under the name Fluviicola sp. Its description in RNAcentral is "tRNA-His". It matches the Rfam family "tRNA". From Rfam's summary of the family: Transfer RNA (tRNA) molecules are approximately 80 nucleotides in length. RNAcentral also lists the same sequence under 2 other names. Lineage: Bacteria; Pseudomonadati; Bacteroidota; Flavobacteriia; Flavobacteriales; Crocinitomicaceae. The record is from RNAcentral.